UUAUUUAUUUUUUCUCUUUUGGCAUAAACUUUACAAAAAUAUUAAUCAUGGAUUUAAGAAAUGUCAAACUUAUAAACAAAAAAGUUCCAAUGUACAGUACGUAGGGAUCAUAAAUAAUAUACUUUUCUUUUAUUUUGAAAAUAUUGAUCAUGUAUUUAAAAAACUUUAAAUGUGCAUAGAAAAUGUUUUUGAUCUCACUCGGCGGGCCCAGCCUUCAGCAUUUCUUUUCUUCUUUUU
This 237-nucleotide long non-coding RNA is filed under the name Hordeum vulgare. RNAcentral describes it as "long non-coding RNA (HVUL_LNC018040)". Lineage: Eukaryota; Viridiplantae; Streptophyta; Magnoliopsida; Poales; Poaceae. The record is from RNAcentral.